CAGUCGCCAGGGAAAACGUAGGUGGCAAGCGUUGUCCGGAAUUAUUGGGCGUAAAGGGCUCGCAGGCGGUUUCUUAAGUCUGAUGUGAAAGCCCCCGGCUCAACCGGGGAGGGUCAUUGGAAACUGGAAAACUUGAGUGCAGAAGAGGAGAGUGGAAUUCCACGUGUAGCGGUGAAAUGCGUAGAGAUGUGGAGGAACACCAGUGGCGAAGGCGACUCUCUGGUCUGUAACUGACGCUGAGGAGCGAAAGCGUGGGGAGCGAACAGGAUUAGAUACCCCCGUAGUCCCUGUCUCUUAUACA
Molecule: ribosomal RNA, 301 nt
Filed under: uncultured bacterium
Lineage: Bacteria
Description: partial 16S ribosomal RNA
Rfam family: Bacterial small subunit ribosomal RNA
Source: RNAcentral